UAUUCUUUCGGGAAACAUCCUUCUCCAGCGCUGCCCGUCAAAAGAGUUCCAAAGAACUCCCUGCUACUAAACGACUGUGAAGAGUAGUAGAAGCAGCAUCGACUACUCCACGGAUUUUUACAACUACUAGCAGUAGCAGGGAGCGAGGGAGCGAUGGGAGAAGAAGGAGUAGAUGAUCCACAGAAAUUGAAGAGAAUAGCGGCGGCGGCGUAUGACUAUGAGAAUGAUCCCAGAUGGGCCGAUUACUGGUCCAACAUCCUCAUUCCUCCCCACAUGGGCUCCCGCUCCGAUGUUGUCCACCAUUUCAAGCGCAAGUUCUACCAGCGUUACAUUGCCUUUUCUUACAGCCCCAUCAACUGUAGUGCACUGCUUUCUUAUCCCUUGCAUUAUGUCAUAUGGUGCCAAAUGAAAUUUAUGGAGGCUCCCUGACCACACGGAGGCCUUUAUCUCUGAAGUUCAUUCAGGAUCCUGGUCUAAUUGUUGAACCAAUGACUCUCAGCAGUUCGUCCCAAGCAGCAAGAUCAUCAGCCCCACAAUCUUCUUCAUCGUCGUCGUCAUCAUCAACUUCUAACAACCAGCCAAGACAACGUAACUCUGGGCCAGCUAGUAGAACUUCUGGAACAUCCACGACUCCAGCUUCAAGUGCAACAUUGCUGCGAUGGAAUCGACAAACUCUACAAUUUUCAGUGAAUGCUUGGGUUCUUGUUGUGGCAGUUCUUGCUAUCUUACCACUUAUACCUGCAAAUCUGUCAAACAGAGCAUUUCGACUGGCCUUUGCAGGAACUGCAUGUUCUUCCCUAUAUUCAUUAUACUCAUUAUAUGGGAAGCCUAGCGCUUGGAAUUUGCAGGCCGUGCAAGUUUGGUUUCAGUCAGUUAUUGUGACGAAAGAUUUUAUCUACUUCAUUUACUGCCUUACUUUUGUCACUUCACAUCUUUACUUGAAAUUUGCUUUGAUUCCUGUUUUAUGCCGAGCACUUGAACAUGUUGCGAAGUUUCUUCGACGCAACUUCAGCACAUCUUCUUUGUACAGGAAAUACUUGGAAGAGGCUUGUGUAUGGAUCGAGUCGAACACAACUACUCUUAGCAUACUGUCUUCACAGGCUGAGAUUGGGCUUGGAUUUCUUCUAGUUGUGUCCCUCUUAUCGUGGCAGCGUAACAUAAUACAAGCUUUCAUGUAUUGGCAGCUAUUGAAGCUUAUGUAUCAAGCUCCUGCUACUGCUGGUUACCAUCAGAACAUGUGGGCUAAGAUCGGGAGGCAUGUAAAUCCUCUGAUUCAAAGAUAUGCUCCAUUCAUGCAUACUCCUAUCUCUACUAUUCAGAGAUGGUGGUUCAGGGGAAUUGGAUGCAGGUUUAGCCAAAAAUAUGGCAUUGGAGAAGAGAACAAAAUCUCGACAUGACAAUUUCAAAGAAACCCAAGUCGAGAAAUCAUUGAAGGAAACAAGACUUCCCAUUGCGGAAAAGAGGAAAAAACAUAUUUCUGAAGCUUCAUCUGUCAAGGGGAAGGAGGUUGAAGCAAGUAAAAGCUCGGAUACACUAGAAGAAAAGGGAAUUAAGCUGUUUGUGAAAAAACAGCCUAUAUUUGCACCACAUAUCAAUGUAUAUACUAACACUGACAUAGUCUCCGAGCUAAACGAAAAUCUUACUCCAGAGCAGUACAAACAACUGGGUGAUACUUGUUUUGGAAAUUUUCUUCAAAUAAAGCGGUGUGAAGUCCAACAUCAACUCUUCAGAUGCUUCAUGGCUCUCCAGUUAGAAGGAAGUACUGACAAUGUAUUUGUAAUACACGCCAAUGGUACUUCAUUAUCUUUCUCAAUAAGGGAGUUUGCGUUUGUGUUGGUAACCUUGCUGAUUUUGAGUUCAAUGAAAAGGUUCCUAACCAGAUUAUUGAGACUUACUUUGGAGGUGUCAAUCUUAUCAAAAAGAAAAAUUUGAUGGAAUGUUUUGCUGACAAGAAUUGGGGUCACGACAAUGAUGGGGAUGCCUUGAAGAUAGUUGUGUUGUAUUUCAUACACUCCUUCAUUUUUUCAUCCGAGAAGAACAACACAACCAUCCCAAGGCUACAUUUUGACUUGGUAGAGAGUGAGCGUUAUUCUGAAUAUCCAUGGGGUUUAAAAGCAUUUGAAAGCCUGAUAAAAUCUAUUAGCAAGAAGAUGGAUGCUCAGAAGAAGUACUACAGGAUAGCUGGGAUGCCCCUAGCAAUGUAAGUGUGGUUUUAUGAGUGUUGUUCAAAUGUUGAUCCCAAAAUUGCACUCCGAGUUGAUAACGUGGUCCCCAGAAUACUCAGUUGGAGAACCACCGGAAAUCAGCGAAACUUUGCUUAUCUGAUGAACGACAUGUUCAAUAACAAAGGGAACAUGGUAAUUUACAAUUUGUAUCGUGGCUAGUUUACAUUUUACUAAUCAUUAAUGUUGCAUACAUUUGCAUACAAUUAUUGCUGCAUACAGUUGAAUACAGUUGUUGUUGCCUUCAUUAU
Molecule: RNA transcript, 2473 nt
Organism: Nicotiana tabacum (common tobacco)
Lineage: Eukaryota; Viridiplantae; Streptophyta; Magnoliopsida; Solanales; Solanaceae
Source: RefSeq, a predicted model, not a curated record